UACGUAGGGGGCGAGCGUUAUCCGGAUUCAUUGGGCGUAAAGCGCGCGUAGGUGGCCGCCUAAGCGGAACCUCUAACCCCGGGGUUCAACCUCGGGCCGGGUUCCGGACUGGGCGGCUCGAGUGCGGUAGAGGAGAGCGGAAUUCCCGGUGUAGCGGUGGAAUGCGCAGAUAUCGGGAAGAACACCGAUGGCGAAGGCAGCUCUCUGGGCCGUCACUGACGCUGAGGCGCGAAAGCUGGGGGAGCGAACAGG
This 252-nucleotide ribosomal RNA is filed under the name uncultured bacterium. Its description in RNAcentral is "partial 16S ribosomal RNA". It matches the Rfam family "Bacterial small subunit ribosomal RNA", at positions 524 to 776 of the family's 1533-position model. The record is from RNAcentral.